This 821-nucleotide ribosomal RNA is filed under the name Escherichia coli. RNAcentral's name for it is "partial 23S ribosomal RNA". It matches the Rfam family "Bacterial large subunit ribosomal RNA", at positions 371 to 1194 of the family's 2925-position model. The record is from RNAcentral. Lineage: Bacteria; Pseudomonadati; Pseudomonadota; Gammaproteobacteria; Enterobacterales; Enterobacteriaceae.
CCCCGUACACAAAAAUGCACAUGCUGUGAGCUCGAUGAGUAGGGCGGGACACGUGGUAUCCUGUCUGAAUAUGGGGGGACCAUCCUCCAAGGCUAAAUACUCCUGACUGACCGAUAGUGAACCAGUACCGUGAGGGAAAGGCGAAAAGAACCCCGGCGAGGGGAGUGAAAAAGAACCUGAAACCGUGUACGUACAAGCAGUGGGAGCACAGAGCAAUCUGUGUGACUGCGUACCUUUUGUAUAAUGGGUCAGCGACUUAUAUUCUGUAGCAAGGUUAACCGAAUAGGGGAGCCGAAGGGAAACCGAGUCUUAACUGGGCGUUAAGUUGCAGGGUAUAGACCCGAAACCCGGUGAUCUAGCCAUGGGCAGGUUGAAGGUUGGGUAACACUAACUGGAGGACCGAACCGACUAAUGUUGAAAAAUUAGCGGAUGACUUGUGGCUGGGGGUGAAAGGCCAAUCAAACCGGGAGAUAGCUGGUUCUCCCCGAAAGCUAUUUAGGUAGCGCCUCGUGAAUUCAUCUCCGGGGGUAGAGCACUGUUUCGGCAAGGGGGUCAUCCCGACUUACCAACCCGAUGCAAACUGCGAAUACCGGAGAAUGUUAUCACGGGAGACACACGGCGGGUGCUAACGUCCGUCGUGAAGAGGGAAACAACCCAGACCGCCAGCUAAGGUCCCAAAGUCAUGGUUAAGUGGGAAACGAUGUGGGAAGGCCCAGACAGCCAGGAUGUUGGCUUAGAAGCAGCCAUCAUUUAAAGAAAGCGUAAUAGCUCACUGGUCGAGUCGGCCUGCGCGGAAGAUGUAACGGGGCUAAACCAUGCAC